This 540-nucleotide long non-coding RNA is filed under the name Bos indicus x Bos taurus (hybrid cattle). RNAcentral's name for it is "lncRNA (ENSBIXG00000010486.1)". The record is from RNAcentral. Lineage: Eukaryota; Metazoa; Chordata; Mammalia; Artiodactyla; Bovidae.
GUUCAUUAUUAUGAAGAUGGUAAUGUUCAACUAGUGAGUCAUAAAGAUAUACAAGAUUCCCUAAACAGUGUCUAAUGAGGUGCAAACAGCAAAAGAAUUUAUAAAGAUUGUAGAGGCUGCAGAAAAUGAAUACCAGACUGCCAUCAGUGAGAAUUACCAGACGAUGUCAGACACUACUUUCAAAGCCUUACGUCGGCAGUUGCCAGUUACACGCACUAAGAUUGAUUGGAACAAGAUCCUUAGUUACAAGAUUGGAAAAGAGAUGCAGAAUGCAUAAGAUGAACAUUGCAUGACCAGAUCAUUUUAGUGUCUUUGCGUUUAAAAAAAAAAAAAAAUCAUUGCAAAAGUAUUCAAAACUGUCAAGCUACCCAGUCAGAGGGCUGUUGCCAUUUAAAAUCACUGUAAUUAAUUAGUUUGGUUAGAGCACAAGCUUAGCUAAUCAACCAUUUUUUUUUAAAUUUCUUUUAUUCAGAGAAGACUGAAAUCAGUUUAGUUUAAAUGUCUUUUACUUUCUUUUGUGUCUUUCUUUCUUACAAUGAA